AUUGAACGCUGGCGGCAGGCCUAACACAUGCAAGUCGAACGGUAACAGGAAACAGCUUGCUGUUUCGCUGACGAGUGGCGGACGGGUGAGUAAUGUCUGGGAAACUGCCUGAUGGAGGGGGAUAACUACUGGAAACGGUAGCUAAUACCGCAUAACGUCGCAAGACCAAAGAGGGGGACCUUCGGGCCUCUUGCCAUCAGAUGUGCCCAGAUGGGAUUAGCUAGUAGGUGGGGUAACGGCUCACCUAGGCGACGAUCCCUAGCUGGUCUGAGAGGAUGACCAGCCACACUGGAACUGAGACACGGUCCAGACUCCUACGGGAGGCAGCAGUGGGGAAUAUUGCACAAUGGGCGCAAGCCUGAUGCAGCCAUGCCGCGUGUAUGAAGAAGGCCUUCGGGUUGUAAAGUACUUUCAGCGGGGAGGAAGGGAGUAAAGUUAAUACCUUUGCUCAUUGACGUUACCCGCAGAAGAAGCACCGGCUAACUCCGUGCCAGCAGCCGCGGUAAUACGGAGGGUGCAAGCGUUAAUCGGAAUUACUGGGCGUAAAGCGCACGCAGGCGGUUUGUUAAGUCAGAUGUGAAAUCCCCGGGCUCAACCUGGGAACUGCAUCUGAUACUGGCAAGCUUGAGUCUCGUAGAGGGGGGUAGAAUUCCAGGUGUAGCGGUGAAAUGCGUAGAGAUCUGGAGGAAUACCGGUGGCGAAGGCGGCCCCCUGGACGAAGACUGACGCUCAGGUGCGAAAGCGCGGGGAGCAAACAGGAUUAGAUACCCUGGUAGUCCACGCCGUAAACGAUGUCGACUUGGAGGUUGUGCCCUUGAGGCGUGGCUUCCGGAGCUAACGCGUUAAGUCGACCGCCUGGGGAGUACGGCCGCAAGGUUAAAACUCAAAUGAAUUGACGGGGGCCCGCACAAGCGGUGGAGCAUGUGGUUUAAUUCGAUGCAACGCGAAGAACCUUACCUGGUCUUGACAUCCACGGAAGUUUUCAGAGAUGAGAAUGUGCCUUCGGGAACCGUGAGACAGGUGCUGCAUGGCUGUCGUCAGCUCGUGUUGUGAAAUGUUGGGUUAAGUCCCGCAACGAGCGCAACCCUUAUCCUUUGUUGCCAGCGGUCCGGCCGGGAACUCAAAGGAGACUGCCAGUGAUAAACUGGAGGAAGGUGGGGAUGACGUCAAGUCAUCAUGGCCCUUACGACCAGGGUUACACACGUGCUACAAUGGCGCAUACAAAGAGAAGCGACCUCGCGAGAGCAAGCGGACCUCAUAAAGUGCGUCGUAGUCCGGAUUGGAGUCUGCAACUCGACUCCAUGAAGUCGGAAUCGCUAGUAAUCGUGGAUCAGAAUGCCACGGUGAAUACGUUCCCGGGCCU
Molecule: ribosomal RNA, 1363 nt
Filed under: uncultured bacterium
Lineage: Bacteria
Description: bacterial SSU rRNA
Rfam family: Bacterial small subunit ribosomal RNA
Source: RNAcentral